AGAGUUUGAUCCUGGCUCAGAUUGAACGCUGGCGGCAUGCCUUACACAUGCAAGUCGGACGGCAGCGCGGGGGCAACCCUGGCGGCGAGUGGCGAACGGGUGAGUAAUACAUCGGAACGUGUCCUGGAGUGGGGGAUAGCCCGGCGAAAGCCGGAUUAAUACCGCAUACGCUCUAUGGAGGAAAGCGGGGGAUCUUCGGACCUCGCGCUCAAGGGGCGGCCGAUGGCAGAUUAGCUAGUUGGUGGGGUAAAGGCCUACCAAGGCGACGAUCUGUAGCUGGUCUGAGAGGACGACCAGCCACACUGGGACUGAGACACGGCCCAGACUCCUACGGGAGGCAGCAGUGGGGAAUUUUGGACAAUGGGGGCAACCCUGAUCCAGCAAUGCCGCGUGUGUGAAGAAGGCCUUCGGGUUGUAAAGCACUUUUGUCCGGAAAGAAAACUUCGCUCCUAAUACGGGUGGAGGAUGACGGUACCGGAAGAAUAAGCACCGGCUAACUACGUGCCAGCAGCCGCGGUAAUACGUAGGGUGCGAGCGUUAAUCGGAAUUACUGGGCAAAGCGUGCGCAGGCGGUUCGCUAAGACCGAUGUGAAAUCCCCGGGCUUAACCUGGGAACUGCAUUGGUGACUGGCGGGCUAGAGUAUGGCAGAGGGGGGUAGAAUUCCACGUGUAGCAGUGAAAUGCGUAGAGAUGUGGAGGAAUACCGAUGGCGAAGGCAGCCCCCUGGGCCAAUACUGACGCUCAUGCACGAAAGCGUGGGGAGCAAACAGGAUUAGAUACCCUCGUAGUCC
RNAcentral lists this ribosomal RNA (791 nucleotides) under uncultured bacterium. RNAcentral describes it as "bacterial SSU rRNA". It matches the Rfam family "Bacterial small subunit ribosomal RNA", at positions 8 to 796 of the family's 1533-position model. The record is from RNAcentral.